CAAGCUACUAAGGGCAAACGGGGGAUGCCUUGGCGUCGGAAGGCGAAGAAGGACGUGGUAAGCUGCGAUAAGCCUCGGUGAGCUGCAAACAAGCGUUGAUCCGGGGAUUUCCGAAUGGGGAAACCUGGCGAGGGUAAUGCCUCGUCACUCCCAGCUGAACACAUAGGCUGGGUAGAGCCAACCGGGGGAACUGAAACAUCUAAGUACCCCGAGGAAGAGAAAGCAACCGCGAUUCCCCGAGUAGCGGCGAGCGAAACGGGAACAGCCUAAACCGAUUGCAUGUCAAGCCUGCCAGCGUUGUGCAGUCGGGGUUGUGGGAUCUGAUCGGACCCAGGGCAGCUGGGUCGAGAAGUUACAAAUUGCACGGUUAACCGAACCCGUCUGGAAAGUCGGGCCAUAGCGGGUGAUAGCCCCGUAGGUGAAAACCAUGCGACUUCUUGGAUCGGACACCCGAGUAGCGCGGGACACGAGGAAUCCCGUGUGAAUCCAGGAGGACCACCUCCUAAGGCUAAAUACUCUCCGACGACCGAUAGUGAACCAGUACCGUGAGGGAAAGGUGAAAAGCACCCCAGGAGGGGAGUGAAAGAGUAUCUGAAACCGUUUGCCUACAAGCGGUCGGAGCUCCUUCGGGAGUGACGGCGUGCCUUUUGCAUAAUGAGCCGGCGAGUUACUGGAGGCUGGCAAGGUUAAGUGGUUAAGCCACGGAGCCGUAGCGAAAGCGAGUCCUAACCGGGCGUACAGUCAGUCUUCGUAGACCCGAAGCCAGGUGAUCUAGCCAUGGCCAGGUUGAAGCGUAUGUAACAAUACGUGGAGGACCGAACCAGACAGAGUUGAAAAUCUGCUGGAUGAGCUGUGGUUAGGGGUGAAAGGCCAAUCAAACCUGGAGAUAGCUGGUUCUCCCCGAAAUGGAUUGAGGUCCAGCCUCGCGAUAGAGUGUGGCGGAGGUAGAGCACUGAAUAGGCUAGGGGCCCUACCAGGUUACCGACCCUAAUCAAACUCCGAAUGCCGCUCACAUGUUUCGCGGGAGUGAGGUCGUGAGAGAUAAGUUUCACGGCCGAGAGGGAAACAACCCAGAUCGUCAGCUAAGGCCCCGAAGUACAGGCUAAGUGGUUGUAAGGAAGUGAGACUACUCAGACAGCUAGGAUGUUGGCUUAGAAGCAGCAACCAUUCAAAGAGUGCGUAAUAGCUCACUAGUCAAGUGGUCUCGCGCCGAUAAUAAACGGGACUAAGCCUGUCGCCGAAGCUACGGACUGUCGAGGUCUUCGGACUCCGACAUUGGUAGGGGAGCGUUCUGCAGUAGGUCGAAGGUAUCUCGAUAAGAGGUGCUGGACGAGGCAGAAGUGAUAAUGCCGGCAUAAGUAGCGAUAAAGCAGGUGAGAAACCUGCUCACCGAAAACCCAAGGUUUCCUGAGGAAGGUUAAUCCGCUCAGGGUUAGUCGGCCCCUUAGCCGAGGCCGAAAGGCGUAGGUGAUGGGAAACGGGUCAACAUUCCCGUACCACCUGACAACGUUUGACCGAUGGGGUGACGCAGAAGUGAACGACCAGCCGCUUAUUGGAUUGCGGUCUAAGGGUGUAGGAAGGCGUCCUAGGUAAAUCCGGGAUGUCAAUUCCGAGACCUGAAUGGGAAACGAGCCUCCGGGCAAGCCAACUGGUCUUAAGCAUGCUGCCUAGAAAUAGCCUCUAGGGAGUUCGUCAGGUGACCGUACCGUAAACGGACACACGUAGGUGGGGUGAGUAACCUAAGGUGCUCGAGUGAUUUCUAGCCAAGGAACUCGGCAAAAUGUCCCCGUAACUUCGGGAUAAGGGGAGCCUUCCGAGAAUAGCCCCUCGCGGGUGAAGGUAGGGAGGCCGCAGAGAAUCGGCCCAGGCGACUGUUUACUAAAAACACAGGACUCUGCUAAGUCGAUGAGACGAUGUAUAGGGUCUGACACCUGCCCGGUGCCGGAAAGUUAAAGGGAGGGGUUAGCUUCGGCGAAGCUCUGAACUGAAGCUCCGGUAAACGGCGGCCGUAACUAUAACGGUCCUAAGGUAGCGAAAUUCCUUGUCGGGUAAGUUCCGACCUGCACGAAUGGUGUAACGAUCUGGGCACUGUCUCGGCUAGAAGCUCGGCGAAAUUGUAGUAGCGGUGAAGAUGCCGCUUACCCGCGUCUGGACAGAAAGACCCCAUGGACCUUUACUGCAACUUGAUAUUGGGUUUCGGCCUUGCAUGUGUAGGAUAGGUGGGAGGCUUUGAAGCGGGGGCGCCAGCUCUCGUGGAGUCGACCUUGAAAUACCACCCUUGUGAUGUUGGAAUUCUAACCUGACUCCGUGAAUCCGGGUCAGGAACAGUGUCAGGUGGGCAGUUUGACUGGGGCGGUCGCCUCCUAAAGAGUAACGGAGGCGCACGAAGGUUCCCUCAGCGUGGUCGGCAAUCACGCGAAGAGUGUAAAGGCAAAAGGGAGCUUGACUGCGAGAGCGACAGCUCGAGCAGGUGGGAAACCAGGUCUUAGUGACCCGGUGGCUCCGAGUGGAAGGGCCAUCGAUCAACGGAUAAAAGGUACCCUGGGGAUAACAGGCUGAUCUCCCCCGAGAGUCCACAUCGACGGGGAGGUUUGGCACCUCGAUGUCGGCUCAUCGCAUCCUGGGGCUGAAGGCGGUCCCAAGGGUUUGGCUGUUCGCCAAUUAAAGCGGUACGUGAGCUGGGUUUAGAACGUCGUGAGACAGUUCGGUCCCUAUCCGACGUGGGCGCAGGAGGUUUGAGGAGAGCUGACUUCAGUACGAGAGGACCUCGUUGGACGCACCUCUAGUGCACCUGUUGUCGCGCCAGCGGCAUGGCAGGGUAGCUACGUGCGGAACGGAUAACCGCUGAAAGCAUCUAAGCGGGAAGCCAACUCCAAGAUUAGACCUCCCUGACUUCGGUCCUGAAGGCCCCUUCGAGACUAGGAGGUUGAUAGGCCGGAGGUGUAAGCGUGGUAACACGUUCAGCCGACCGGUACUAAUAGGCCGUGAGGCUUGGCCU
This 2998-nucleotide ribosomal RNA is filed under the name Minwuia thermotolerans. Its description in RNAcentral is "23S ribosomal RNA". It matches the Rfam family "Bacterial large subunit ribosomal RNA". The record is from RNAcentral. Lineage: Bacteria; Pseudomonadati; Pseudomonadota; Alphaproteobacteria; Minwuiales; Minwuiaceae.